RNAcentral lists this ribosomal RNA (430 nucleotides) under Verrucomicrobiota bacterium. RNAcentral describes it as "Verrucomicrobia bacterium partial 16S ribosomal RNA". It matches the Rfam family "Bacterial small subunit ribosomal RNA", at positions 355 to 776 of the family's 1533-position model. The record is from RNAcentral. Lineage: Bacteria; Pseudomonadati; Verrucomicrobiota.
UAGGGAAUCUUCGGCAAUGGGGGGAACCCUGACCGAGCAACGCCGCGUGAGUGAAGAAGGUUUUCGGAUCGUAAAGCUCUGUUGUUAAGGAAGAACGAGUGUGAGAAUGGAAAGUUCAUGCUGUGACGGUACCUAACCAGAAAGCCACGGCUAACUACGUGCCAGCAGCCGCGGUAAUACGUAGGUGGCAAGCGUUGUCCGGAAUUAUUGGGCGUAAAGCGCGCGCAGGUGGUUUAGAAAGUCUGAUGUGAAAGCCCACGGCUCAACCGUGGAGGGUCAUUGGAAACUAAUAAACUUGAGUGCAGGAGAGAAAAGUGGAAUUCCUAGUGUAGCGAUGAAAUGCGUAGAGAUUAGGAGGAACACCGGUGGCGAAAGCGGCUUUUUGGCCUGCAACUGACACUGAGGCGCGAAAGCGUGGGGAGCAAACAGG